UACGUAGGUGGCGAGCGUUAUCCGGAUUUAUUGGGCGUAAAGGGAACGCAGGCGGUCUUUUAAGUCUGAUGUGAAAGCCUUCGGCUUAACCGGAGUAGUGCAUUGGAAACUGGGAGACUUGAGUGCAAAAGAGGAGAGUGGAACUCCAUGUGUAGCGGUGAAAUGCGUAGAUAUAUGGAAGAACACCAGUGGCGAAAGCGGCUCUCUGGUCUGUAACUGACGCUGAGGUUCGAAAGCGUGGGUAGCAAACAGG
RNAcentral lists this ribosomal RNA (253 nucleotides) under uncultured bacterium. Its description in RNAcentral is "partial 16S ribosomal RNA". It matches the Rfam family "Bacterial small subunit ribosomal RNA", at positions 524 to 776 of the family's 1533-position model. The record is from RNAcentral.